Molecule: ribosomal RNA, 107 nt
Filed under: Acanthosepion pharaonis
Lineage: Eukaryota; Metazoa; Mollusca; Cephalopoda; Sepiida; Sepiidae
Source: RNAcentral
CCAUAUCACAUUGAAACACCAGUUUUUAUAUAAUCACCAAAGUUAAGCAGCAUCAAGCCAGGUCAGUACUUAGAUGGGUGACUGCUUGGGAAUACCAGGUACUGUAA